RNAcentral lists this ribosomal RNA (726 nucleotides) under Pseudomonas sp. IH2-5. Its description in RNAcentral is "bacterial SSU rRNA". It matches the Rfam family "Bacterial small subunit ribosomal RNA", at positions 31 to 750 of the family's 1533-position model. The record is from RNAcentral. Lineage: Bacteria; Pseudomonadati; Pseudomonadota; Gammaproteobacteria; Pseudomonadales; Pseudomonadaceae.
AUGCGCUGGCGGCAGGCUUACACAUGCCCCUGUUGAGGUAGAGGGAAGCUUGCUUCUCUUCGAGAUGCGGCGGACGGGUGAGUAAUGCCUAGAAUCUGCCUAGUGGUGGGGGAUAACGUUCGGAAACGGACGCUAAUACCGCAUACGUCCUACGGGAGAAAGCGGGGGACCUUCGGGCCUCGCGCCAUUAGAUGAGCCUAGGUCGGAUUAGCUAGUUGGUGAGGUAAUGGCUCACCAAGGCUACGAUCCGUAACUGGUCUGAGAGGAUGAUCAGUCACACUGGAACUGAGACACGGUCCAGACUCCUACGGGAGGCAGCAGUGGGGAAUAUUGGACAAUGGGCGAAAGCCUGAUCCAGCCAUGCCGCGUGUGUGAAGAAGGUCUUCGGAUUGUAAAGCACUUUAAGUUGGGAGGAAGGGUAGUAACUUAAUACGUUGCUACUUUGACGUUACCGACAGAAUAAGCACCGGCUAACUUCGUGCCAGCAGCCGCGGUAAUACGAAGGGUGCAAGCGUUAAUCGGAAUUACUGGGCGUAAAGCGCGCGUAGGUGGUUCAGUAAGUUGGAUGUGAAAUCCCCGGGCUCAACCUGGGAACUGCCAUCCAAAAACUGCUGAGCUAAGUACGGUAGCAGGGUAGUGGAAUUUCCUGUGUAGCGGGUGAAAUGCGUACAUUUAGGAGGAACACCAGUGGGCGAAGGCAACUACUGGACUGAUACUGACCNUGAG